Molecule: long non-coding RNA, 2076 nt
Organism: Raphanus sativus (radish)
Lineage: Eukaryota; Viridiplantae; Streptophyta; Magnoliopsida; Brassicales; Brassicaceae
Exons: 6
Source: RefSeq, a predicted model, not a curated record
GCCGUUUUGAAACUAUAUCGUCUCUUUCCUUUGUUCUCAUCUUCUCCUUUCCUCUUCAUACAUUCACUGUUACUGAGCCUAUUUGUCAUCAAUCAGUGGAGUUCUUCAAUAUCGUCUUAAUGAAUACGUUUCACCUCCUUCCUUUUCUCCUUAUUCAUAUAUUUUCCCCCUUUCAUGUCUACAAACCAAAACCCUAUAUUCUGAUCUCUCUUAGAAUCGAUAUUUGAAUUUGAUCAAACGUUUAAGAAUGUUCUCGAAGAACAUCUUUACAACUUUUUUCAGUGUUAUCUCUCAACCUCAUUGACUGAUUAGCUCUUUUCUGAACAUGUUUCAGGUUUCCGUUCGACGCCAAAAGUUUACCGGAGAGAUUUUUAAUAGCGAGACCUUUAGUGACAAGAUUCGCAAUUACUAGGGAUAGAAUUGCUGGUGAAACAAAAAAAAAACUUGAAGCUUUAACAAGUCUCUGAUUUCGUUAGGGAUAAAAACAUGUGAGUUUACAGAUGUUAAGAGUGAAAUAAUAGACUUUAGCUUUUGGAAUGAAUUUUCAGUAACAGAGCUUCGUGGUGUCUACGACGGUCAAGAUGUCGCCGUGAAGCUGCUUGAUUGGGGUGAGGAAAGGCAUAGUUCAGAAGCUGAGAUUGUGUCUUUGAAGGCAGAUUUUGCUCAGGAAGUUGCUGUUUGGCAUAAACUGGACCAUCCAAAUGUUACUAAGUUCAUAGGAGCUACAAUGGGUGCAUCAUGUUUACAACUACCAACAAAGAGUGGUCCACUAGCAAUGCCAAACAGUAUAUGUUGUGUUGUUGUUGAAUAACUUCGAGGUGGUGCUUUGAAAUCCUUCAUGAUCAAGAACAGAAGAAGAAAGUUAGCAUUUAGUGUUGUUGUUCAGCUCGCUCUUGACCUCGCUAGGGGGUUGAGUCACCUUCAUUCACAGAAGAUUGUUCACCGUGACGUAAAGUAUCUGUUGAGAAUCUCUGUCUUCUCUAUUUUAAUUUAGAGUUAUGAUAGCUCUAUACGCUCAUAAAUGGCUCGAGUUCAAGCUUCUAGGGACUGCUACAGUUUGCCACAUCACCAAGUUGUUAAGGGCAUUUUUAACGCAGUAUCUCUUGGGGUUUCUCUAGCCAAAAAGUAGAACGUAGGCCCCGCUAAUUGGGAGAAACAGGUGAAAAAAAGCCUGUGUAGAGAAACGAUUUUGGACUGUUUCUAACACUAUUUUGAAACUUUCCACUGAGACCUAACUAAUAUCAGAUUAAAAAUAUUAAAAAGAUAAAAACGAUUUUUAUAGAAACCCAAAACGUGUUUCCCCCAAUAAUAAUGCUCUAAGGUCUCUGCUCCUUCUUUGUGUGAUUUUAAACUUUUUUUAAUUAAUAUGCAUCCCUAUACUGCACACUGCAUACUUUUUUUUAAUUAUGAAUAUAUCACUGGUUUUAGUCCAAGUGAUUUAGUUUGUUUAGCCGUCUAAGCUUAUAUAUGUAUCUCCUUUAUAGCAUUGGUCCAUUAAUAUAUAGUUAAUUCUGUGAGUUUUAUAUGUCAGGAAUUGUUUCUUACUAAAUGGAUUGGGAUGCAAUUGUUGCUGAUCACUAUUCUUGGGUUUCUCAUCAAGCUACUAACAUGUCUGAUCAACUCAUCAGUUUCCACUCCAUGACCAAAACUCAGCAGGCAUCAUGGGUUUGUAUGCCAUGACUCAGACCGAGACUGUCAGACGAAAAGAACUUAUAUAAAAACCUUCUGGCUCUUGCUUUUUGUUGUUUGUAGGAGUCAAAGCACCUCCAAGAUUAAGAGAUAUAAGGAUCUUUAUUAAACGGACUUUUUAUUAUCACUAGAGCAGCAAGAAGAGAAAUAAUAAGAGCUUUCAAGGAUUAAGGAUGUUAGAGCUGAUGAAGAGGAUAUGGCACUGCUCGCUGUGACAGGAUAAACGACCAGAGAAGUAGAUGAACAAAUCUGAUAUAGAGUUUCUGAACAGCAAGAUGAUCUUUGAAAACUUUCGUUGCAUUGUAUUCUUUGUUUUUCGCUUAUUUGAGAUAAAUAUGUAUAUGUUUCACAAAACUGAGUAAUCAAAGAUAUUGUAUCUGAUACCUA